This 441-nucleotide ribosomal RNA is filed under the name uncultured bacterium. Its description in RNAcentral is "partial 16S ribosomal RNA". It matches the Rfam family "Bacterial small subunit ribosomal RNA", at positions 338 to 795 of the family's 1533-position model. The record is from RNAcentral.
CCUACGGGAGGCAGCAGUGGGGGAUAUUGCACAAUGGGGGGAACCCUGAUGCAGCGACGCCGCGUGGGUGAAGGAGUGCUUCGGCAUGUAAAGCCCUAUCGGCAGGGAAGAAGCAAGACGGUACCUGACUAAGAAGCCCCGGCGAACUACGUGCCAGCAGCCGCGGUAAUACGUAGGGGGCGAGCGUUAUCCGGAUUCACUGGGUGUAAAGGGAGCGUAGACGGCCAAGCAAGCCAGGGGUGAAAGCCCGGGGCCCAACCCCGGGACUGCCCUUGGAACUGCAUGGCUGGAGUGCGGGAGGGGCAGGCGGAAUUCCUGGUGUAGCGGUGGAAUGCGUAGAUAUCAGGAGGAACACCGGCGGCGAAGGCGGCCUGCUGGACCGCGACUGACGUUGAGGCUCGAAAGCGUGGGGAGCGAACAGGAUUAGAUACCCCUGUAGUC